UACGUAGGGGGCAAGCGUUAUCCGGAAUUAUUGGGCGUAAAGAGUACGUAGGUGGCAACCUAAGCGCAGGGUUUAAGGCAAUGGCUCAACCAUUGUUCGCCCUGCGAACUGGGAUGCUUGAGUGCAGGAGAGGAAAGCGGAAUUCCUAGUGUAGCGGUGAAAUGCGUAGAUAUUAGGAGGAACACCAGUGGCGAAGGCGGCUUUCCGGACUGUAACUGACACUGAGGUACGAAAGCGUGGGGAGCAAACAGG
RNAcentral lists this ribosomal RNA (252 nucleotides) under uncultured bacterium. Its description in RNAcentral is "partial 16S ribosomal RNA". It matches the Rfam family "Bacterial small subunit ribosomal RNA", at positions 524 to 776 of the family's 1533-position model. The record is from RNAcentral.